Perca fluviatilis (European perch) is the source of this 325-nucleotide long non-coding RNA. RefSeq lists it as uncharacterized. Lineage: Eukaryota; Metazoa; Chordata; Actinopteri; Perciformes; Percidae. The transcript is spliced from 3 exons. The record is from RefSeq and is a predicted model, not a curated record.
UGGCUGGCAUGGCUGCCAACCAUGAUGCCAACAGAGACCAACCUGUCUAUGAACUCUGCUAAGCUAACGGCUAGCUGCAAGCAAAUAAUCUUUAAACCGCCUCUGCAGCAAGGACUUCUUUGACGGGGACAUUGCCGGCUGUUCAUCCGAGUUUCCUGCCCUUUUUUGGAUGCCAGAGAUCAAUGCUUCACUUCAGCAAGUGUACCUGUCUGCAAUGGGGCUGCCAGUUGUCCAGCACAGAAAUACCAAAUCCGACAGGUUAUUUGCCACAAUAAGUAGGCCUACACUCACAUGGAAUUUGCCUUGGUCAAUGGUGCAUUAACAA